This 30-nucleotide non-coding RNA is filed under the name Mus musculus (house mouse). Lineage: Eukaryota; Metazoa; Chordata; Mammalia; Rodentia; Muridae. The record is from RNAcentral.
UGUGACAAAAUGCCUGAGAAAAAUCACUUA